UUGACCCUGGGUCAGGCGGGACUACUCGAUGAAUUUAAGCAUAUCAACUAGCGGAGGAAAAGAAACUUAUAAGGAUUCCCUAGUAACGGCGAGCGAAUAGGGAAUAGCACAACCUUAGAAUCGGGCGGCUCCAUCGUCCGAAUUAUAGUCUGGAGAAACAUCCUCAGCAGCGGACCGGGCCCAAGUCCCCUGGAAGGGGACACUAAAGAGGGUGAGAGCCCUAUUGUGCUAGGACCCUGUCGCACUACGAGGCGUUGUCUAUGAGUCGGGUUGUUUGAGAAUGCAGCCCAAAUUGGGUGGUUAAUUCCGUCCCAGGCUAAAUACGGGCGAGAGACCGAUAGCGAACAAGUACCGCGAGGGAAAGAUGAAAAGGACUUUGAAAAGAGACUCAAAGAGUGAUUGAAAUUGUUGGGAGGGAAGUGGAUUGGGGCCAGUGAUGUGCCUCGGUCGGAUGUGGAACGAUGUUAUGCCGGUGUGCCGAUCAACUCGGGGAGUGAAUCAACGUUGAUUAGGGGCGGCCAAAGCCCGGGCUUUUGAUAUGCUCGUGGAACGUCAUCUCCUUGAUUGUGGAAGGCAACAUGCACCUCUAUCAUGCUUCGUCAUAUGCAUGCUCCGGACGCUGGUCUGUGGGCUCCCUAUUCGACCCAUCUUGAAACACGGACAAAGGAGUCUAACAUGUGUGUGAGUCAAUGGGUGAGUAAACCCACAAGGCAUAAGGAAUCUGAUUGGUGGGAUCCCCCUGAGGGGUGCACCGCUGAUCGACCUUGAUCUUCUGUGAAGGGUUUGAGUGUUACCAUACCUGUCGUGACCCGAAAGAUCGUGAACUAUGCCUGAGCGGGGCGAAGCCAUAGGAAACUCUGGUGGAGGCCCGUAGCGAUACUAAUGUGAAAAUCGUCCGUCUAACUUAGGUAUAGGGGCAAAAGACUAAUCGAACUGUCUAGUAGCAGGUUCAGUUUCCCUCAGGAUAGCUGGAGCUCGCGUGCGAGUUCUAUCGGGUAAAGCUAAUGAUUUGAGGCAUCGGGGGUGCAAUGCCCUCGACCUAUUCUAAAACUUUAAAUAAGUAGGAUGGCGCAAUUGCUUUAUUGAGCUACGCCACGGAAUCAAGAGCUCGAAGUGGGCAAUAUUUUGUAAGUAGAACUGGCGAUGUGGGAUGAAUCGGAAGCAGGGUUACAGUGAUAAAAUGCGCACUAACCUAGAUCCCACAAAAGGGUGUUGGUCGAUUAAGACAGCAGGACAGUGGUCAUGGAAGUCGAAAUCCGCUAAGGACUAUGUAUCAACUUACUUGCCAAAUCAACUAGCCCCGAAAAUGGAUGGCUCUUAAUCACGCGACCUACACCCGGCUGUCAGGCAAGUGCUAGGCCCCGAUGAGUCGGAUGGAGCGACGAUCUCUUCAAAACCUUGGGCGUGAGCCUGGGUGGAGCGGCUGUCAGUGCAGAUCUUGGUGGUAGUAGCAAAUAUUCAAAUGAGAACUUUGAAAGCCGAAUAGGGGAAAGGUUCUAUGUGAACGGCACUUGCACUUGGGUUAGUCGAUCUUAAGGGUUGGGGAAACCCUGAUAUAUAGCGCGUUUCACGCGUACUCUUAAAGGGAAUUAGGGACAUGGCGGUUGACGGCAACGUUAGAAAGUCCGGAUUUGUCGGCGGGGUCCUAAAGAAGAGUUAUCUUUUUUGUUUAAUAGCAUGCCCACCCUGGAAAUAACUCAGUUGGAGGUAGGGUCCAGCGGCUGGAAGAUGACCGCACAUCCAGUGGUGUCCGGUGCGCCCCCGACGGCCCUUGAAAAUCUGAAGGACCGAGUGUCGUCCAUGCUCGAUCGUACUCAUAACCGCAUCAGGUUUCCGAGGUGAACAACCUCUAGUCGAUGGAACAAUGUAGGCAAGGGAAGUCGGAAAAAUGGAUCUGUAACUUUGGGAAAAGGAUUGGCUCUAAGGGCUUGGCAUGUGGGUCCUAGUCCCGCACCCGUCAGCUGUCGGUGGACUACUUGAGCUGCUCCCGCGGCGAAAGUGGGUCGCCGCGUGCCGGCUGGGGGACGAACUGGGACCGGUUCAUUCGGGGGCCUUUCCCGGACGUUAAACAGCCAACUCAAAACUAGUACGGACAAGGGGAAUCCGACUGUUUAAUUAAAACAAAGCAUUGCGAUGGUCCCUACGGAUGUUUAUGUAAUGUGAUUUCUGUCUAGUGCUCUGAAUAUCAAAGUGACGAAAUUCAACUAAGUACGGGUAAAUGGCGGGAGUAACUAUGACUCUCUUAAGGUAGCCAAAUUCCUCAUCAUCUAAUUAGUGACGCGCAUGAAUGGAUUAACAAGAUUCCCACUAUCUUUGUCUACUAUCUAGCGAAACCAUAGCCAAGGGAAUGGGUUUGGCAGAAUCAGCGGGGAAAGAAGACACUAUUGAUCUUGACUCUAGUCCGACUUUGUGAAAUGACUUGAGAGUUGUAGUAUAAGUGGGAGCGGAAAGGUAAAAGUGGAAUACCACUACUUUUAACGUUAUUUUACUUAUUCCGUGAAUUGGAAGCGGGGCACUGCCCCUUUUUUUGGACCCAAGGCUUGCUUGCAGGCCGAUUCGGGCUGAAGACAUUGUUAGUUGGGGAGUUUGGCUAGGGCGGCACAUCUAUUAAAAGGCAACGCAGGUGUCAUAAGAUGAGCUCAACGAGAACAGAAAGCUCGUGUGGAACAGAAGGGUAAAAGCUCGUUUGAUUCUAAUUUCCAAUACGAAUACGAAUCGUGAAAGCGUGGACUAACGAUCUUUUGGACCUCUGAAAUUCGAAGCUAGAGGUGUCAAAAAAGUUACCACAUGGAUAACUAGCUUGUGGCAGCCAAGUGUUUAUAGCGACGUUGCUUUUUGAUCCUUCGAUGUCAGCUCUUCCUAUCAUUGUGAAGCAAAAUUCACCAAGUAUUGGAUUGUUCACCCACCAAUAGGGAACGUGAGCUGGGUUUAGAUCGUCGUGAGACAGGUUAGUUUUACCCUACUGAUGACAGUAUCACAAUAGUAAUUCAACCUAGUAUGAGAGGAACAAUUGAUACAAUUGGUCAUUGCGCUUGGUUAAAAAGCUAGUGGCGUGAAGCUACCAUGCACUGGAUUAUGACUGAACGCCUCUAAGUUAGAAUCCGGGCUAGAAGAGACUCAUGCGCUCGCCGUCCUCUUGUCGACCCGUAGUAGGGGCCUUUGUCCCCCAAGGGCAUAUAUUGUUGUCUAGGUCAUCGCGGCGGAAAAGCCGCGGUGGCCGCCUUGAAGUAUAAUUU
RNAcentral lists this ribosomal RNA (3236 nucleotides) under Nicotiana tabacum (common tobacco). Its description in RNAcentral is "eukaryotic LSU rRNA". It matches the Rfam family "Eukaryotic large subunit ribosomal RNA". The record is from RNAcentral. Lineage: Eukaryota; Viridiplantae; Streptophyta; Magnoliopsida; Solanales; Solanaceae.